RNAcentral lists this long non-coding RNA (4178 nucleotides) under Citrus x clementina. RNAcentral's name for it is "Citrus clementina (C. clementina) long non-coding RNA (CCLE_LNC003159)". The record is from RNAcentral. Lineage: Eukaryota; Viridiplantae; Streptophyta; Magnoliopsida; Sapindales; Rutaceae.
CUUGGGUGGUGGGGUUGGCCCACUUCCUCCGCCGGACUCGGAAUGCCGCGAGACUUUGCGAGGGGCCUCCGUGUGCGAAAAAUAGGCCGCGGGCAAAGCCGCGCCGAAAAAUAACCACCUGAAGGCCGGGGCGCCAAGUUCGUCCUGCGGAAAAUGGCCACAAAAACGGGUGGGCUAUACCCUUGGGGGGUGGGGCUGGCCAACUUCGUACGCCGGACACGGAAUGCUGCGAGACUUUGCGAGGGGCCUCCGUGUGCCAAAAAUAGGCAGCGGGCUAAGCCGCACCCAAAAAUAACUGCCCGAAGGCGGGGGUGCCAAGUUCGUCCAGCGGAAAAAGGCCACAAAAACGGGUGGGCUAUACCCUUGGGGGGUGGGGCUGGCCCACUUCGUUCGCCGGACUCGGAAUGCCGCGAGACUUUGCGAGGGUCCUCCGUGUGCCAAAAAUAGGCCGCGGGCAAAGCCGCACCCAAAAAUAACAACCCGAAGGCCGGGGCGCCAAGUUCGUCCAGCGGAAAAUGGCCACAAAAACGGGUGGGCUAUAGCCUUGGGGGGUGGGGUUGGCCCACUUCGUCCGCCGGACUCGGAAUGCCGCGAGACUUUGCGAGGGGCCUCCGUGUGCGAAAAAUAGGCCGCGGUCAAAGCCGCGCUGAAAAAUAACCACCCGAAGGCCGGGGCGCCAACUUCCUCCAGCGGAAAAUGGCCACAAAAACGGGUGGGCUAUACCCUUGGGGGGUGGGGUUGGCCAACUUCGUCCGCCGGACUCAGAAUGCCAUGAGACUUUCCGAGGGGCCUCCGUGUGCCAAAAAUAGGCCGCGGGCUAAGCCGCGCCCAAAAAUAACUGCCCGAAGGCCGGGGCGCCAUGUUCGUCCAGCGGAAAAAGGACAGAAAAACGGGUGGGCUAUNNNNNNNNNNNNNNNNNNNNNNNNNNNNNNNNNNNNNNNNNNNNNNNNNNNNNNNNNNNNNNNNNNNNNNNNNNNNNNNNNNNNNNNNNNNNNNNNNNNNNNNNNNNNNNNNNNNNNNNNNNNNNNNNNNNNNNNNNNNNNNNNNNNNNNNNNNNNNNNNNNNNNNNNNNNNNNNGGCUAUAGCCUUGGGGGGUGGGGUUGGCCCACUUCGUCCGCCGGACUCGGAAUGCCGCGAGACUUUGCGAGGGGCCUCCGUGUGCGAAAAAUAGGCCGCGGUCAAAGCCGCGCUGAAAAAUAACCACCCGAAGGCCGGGGCGCCAACUUCCUCCAGCGGAAAAUGGCCACAAAAACGGGUGGGCUAUACCCUUGGGGGGUGGGGUUGGCCAACUUCGUCCGCCGGACUCAGAAUGCCAUGAGACUUUCCGAGGGGCCUCCGUGUGCCAAAAAUAGGCCGCGGGCUAAGCCGCGCCCAAAAAUAACUGCCCGAAGGCCGGGGCGCCAUGUUCGUCCAGCGGAAAAAGGCCAGAAAAACGGGUGGGCUAUAUAGCCUUGGGGGGUGGGGCUGGCCAACUUCGUCCGCCGGACUCGGAAUGCCGCGAGACUUUACGAGGGGCCUCUGUGUGCCAAAAAUAGGCCGUGAGUAAAGCCGCGCCCAAAAAUAACUGCCCGAAGGCCGGGGCGCCAAGUUCGUCCAGCUGAAAAAGGCCACAAAAACGGGUGGGCUAUAGCCUUCGGGGGUGGGGCUGGCCAACUUCGUCCGCCGGACUUGGAAUGCCGCGAGACUUUGCGAGGGGCCUCCGUGUGCCAAAAAUACGCCGCGGGCAAAGCCACUCCCAAAAAUAACCGCCCGAAGGCCGGGGCGCCAAGUUCGUCCAGCGGAAAAAGGCCACAAAAAAAGGGUGGGCUUAUACCUUGAGGGGUGCGGCUGGCCAACUUCGUCCGCCGGACUCGGAAUGCCGCGAGACUUUGCGAGGGGCCUUCGUGUGCCAAAAAUAGGCCGCGGGUAAAGCCGCGCCCAAAAAUAACCGCCCGAAGGCCGGGGCGCCAAGUUCGUCCAGCUGAAAAAGGCCACAAAAACAGGUGGACUAUAGCCUUGGGGGGUGGGGUUGGCCCACUUCGUCCGCCGGACUCGGAAUGCCGCGAGACUUUGCGAGGGGCCUCCGUGUGCGAAAAAUAGGCCGCGGGCAAAGCUGCGCCGAAAAAUAACCACCCGAAGGCCGGGGCGCCAAGUUCGUCCAGCGGAAAAUGGCCACAAAAACGGGUGGGCUAUACCCUUGGGGGGUGGGGCUAGCCAACUUCGUCCGCCGGACUCAGAAUGCCAUGAGACUUUCCGAGGGGCCUCCGUGUGCCAAAAAUAGGCCGCGGGCUAAGCCGCUCCCAAAAAUAACUGCCCGAAGGCCGGGGCGCCAUGUUCGUCCAGCGGAAAAAGGCCACAAAAACGGGUGGGCUAUAGCCUUGGGUGGUGGGGCUGGCCAACUUCGUCCGCCGGACUCGGAAUGCCGCGAGACUUUGCGAGGGGCCUCCGUGUGCCAAAAAUAGGCCGUGAGUAAAGCCACACCCAAAAAUAACUGCCCGAAGGCCGGGGCGCCAAGUUCGUCCAGCUGAAAAAGGCCACAAAAACAGGUGGGCUAUAGCCUUGGGGGGGGGGGGGUUGGCCCACUUCGUCUGCCGGACUCGGAAUGCCGCGAGACUUUGUGAGGGGCCUCCGUGUGCGAAAAAUAGGCCGCGGGCAAAGCCGCGCCGAAAAAAAACCACCCGAAGGCCGGGGCGCCAAGUUCGUCCAGCGGAAAAAGGCCACAAAAACGGGUGGGCUAUAGCCUUGGGGGGUGGGGCUGGCCAACUUCGUCCGCCGGACUCGGAAUGCCGCGAGACUUUGCAAGGGGCCUCCGUGUGCCAAAAAUAGGCCGCGGGCAAAGCCGCUAUCGAAAAUAACAGCCCGAAGGCCGGGGCGCCAAGUUCGUCCAGCGGAAAAAGGCCACAAAAAAGGGUGGGCUAUAGCCUUGGGGGGUGGGGCUGGCCAACUUCGUCCGCCGGACUCGGAAUGCCGCGAGACUUUGCGAGGGGCCUCCGUGUGCCAAAAAUAGGCCGUGAGUAAAGCCGCGCCCAAAAAUAACCACCCGAAGGCCGGGGCGCCAAAUUCGUCCAGCUGAAAAAGGCCACAAAAACAGGUGGGCUAUAGCCUUGGGUGGUGGGGUUGGCCCACUUCGUCCGCCGGACUCGGAAUGCCGCGAGAGUUUGCGAGGGGCCUCCGUGUGCGAAAAAUAGGCCACGGGCAAAGCCACGCCGAAAAAUAACCACCCGAAGGCCGGGGCGCCAAGUUCGUCCAGCGGAAAAUGGCCACAAAAACGGGUGGGCUAUACCCUUGGGGGGUGGGGCUGGCCAACUUCGUACGCCGGACACGGAAUGCUGCGAGAUUUUGUGAGGGGCCUCCGUGUGUCAAAAAUAGGCAGCGGGCUAAGCCGCACCCAAAAAUAACUGCCCGAAGGCGGGGGUAGCAAGUUCGUCCAACGGAAAAAGGCCACAAAAACGGGUGGGCUAUACCCUUGGGGGGUGGGGCUGGCCCACUUCGUCCGCCGGACUCGGAAUGCCGCGAGACUUUGCGAGGGUCCUCCGUGUGCCAAAAAUAGGCCGCGGGCAAAGCCGCACCCAAAAAUAACCACCCGAAGGCCGGGGCGCCAAGUUCGUCCAGCGGAAAAUGGCCACAAAAACGGGUGGGCUAUAGCCUUGGGGGGUGGGGCUGGCCAACUUCGUCCGCCGGACUCGGAAUGCCGCGAGACUUUGCGAGGGGCCUCCGUGUGCCAAAAAUAGGCCGCGGGCAAAGCCGCUCCCGAAAAUAACCGCCCGAAGGCCGGGGCGCGAAGUUCGUCCAGCGGAAAAAGGCCACAAAAAAGGGUGGGCUAUAGCCUUGGGGGGUGGGGCUGGCCAACUUCGUCCGCCGGACUCGGAAUGCCGCGAGACUUUGCGAGGGGCCUCCGUGUGCCAAAAAUAGGCCGCGGGUAAACCCGCGCCAAAUAAAUAACCGCCCGAAGGCCGGGGCGCCAAGUUCGUCCAGCUGAAAAAGGCCACAAAAACAGGUGGGCUAUAGCCUUGGGGGGUGGGGUUGGCCCACUUCGUCCGCCGGACUCGGAAUGCCGCGAGACUUUGCGAGGGGCCUCCGUGUGCGAAAAAUAGGCCGCGGGCAAAGCCGCGCCGAAAAAUAAUCACCCGAAGGCCGGGGCGCCAAGUUUGUCCUGCGGAAAAUGGCCACAAAAACGGGUGGGCUAUACCCUUGGGGGG